UGGCAGAUAGCACUCCCGGUGAGCGCACUCGGCUGUUAACCGAGAUGGAGGCAGGUUCGAGUCCUGCUCUGCCAGCCA
RNAcentral lists this transfer RNA (78 nucleotides) under Gammaproteobacteria bacterium 45_16_T64. Its description in RNAcentral is "tRNA-Asn". It matches the Rfam family "tRNA". From Rfam's summary of the family: Transfer RNA (tRNA) molecules are approximately 80 nucleotides in length. Their secondary structure includes four short double-helical elements and three loops (D, anti-codon, and T loops). The record is from RNAcentral. Lineage: Bacteria; Pseudomonadati; Pseudomonadota; Gammaproteobacteria.